GAAAGUACAGAUAGAUCAGAUAGAAAUUUAAAGUGGGUUUUGGAAGAGAGCUUUCAAGAGCGUAUUUGGAUAAAGCAAGCAUCUAUCUAUCUCUAUUGUCACUCUGAAAAGAAAACUAGCAACCACAACCCUAGCCACAUUCCCCACUGCCCUACUCUUUAUCCAUAUCAAGUAGCCUCAAGAUAAAGCAAUGGCCAAAAUCAAUCAGACUCAGCAUUAUCUUUCACCCACUGGUGUAACUGCACUGCAGCCUGUUCCUGCUGCUGCAUUUAUUAAGCAACUCAGUCCUCGCCAUCUGCGGUGGAUUGCACAGAUAUUGCUCAUUCUCGAACUUCGAAAGCAAACCCGUCAAGGAAGAGAAAUAUCCCUCGUUGUGAAACCCCGUGAU
RNAcentral lists this long non-coding RNA (388 nucleotides) under Manihot esculenta (cassava). RNAcentral's name for it is "long non-coding RNA (MESC_LNC004841)". Lineage: Eukaryota; Viridiplantae; Streptophyta; Magnoliopsida; Malpighiales; Euphorbiaceae. The record is from RNAcentral.